This is a long non-coding RNA of Capsicum annuum, 1558 nucleotides long. RefSeq lists it as uncharacterized. The transcript has 6 exons. Lineage: Eukaryota; Viridiplantae; Streptophyta; Magnoliopsida; Solanales; Solanaceae. The record is from RefSeq and is a predicted model, not a curated record.
ACAACUCUUAAUUGAGAAAAAAAAAAAAAAGCUAUUUCAACAACUUUAAUUUUUUUUCUCCCUAAUUUUUCACAAAGUACCCAAAAAUAUAAUGAACUAUAUAACAAAAACUAAAAAAAAUUAAAAAAAUAACUGAUCCACUUCGGGGUCUUAACAAAAACCCCACCAGAGCGCCAAAUUUAAAUCUUCAAUCAAAAGGUUUAGGUCUCCGAUCGAUCUGACUGCUCCGAAUCGGCUGAUCUUCAAAUCAGUGCUCCAGUGCUCUAGUACGCAUCUCAAAAUUUACAAAAACUUUGGAUCUACGAUCGAUCGACUGCUCCGCAUCUCAAAUCAGUGCUCCGAUCGACUACUGCUCCAAACGAGUGCUCCGACCGCUUUCGAUUGAACCCUAGCCAUCUAUUGGAAUAGAUAAAUGAUUGAUAUGAGUUCCCUUUGCAACUCGAUCUUGAUAGAGAGAAUGGAAAAUAUUUAUCUCCAGAUGCUGAUCAAAGUGUUCGCAAUCUCUAUACACUUCACAGUGUUUUAGUUCACAGCGGCGGGGUGCAUGGGGGACACUAUUAUGCAUAUAUCAGGCCAACACUCUCUGAUCAAUGAUAAGACUAAAGAAGGAACAAGAAAAAAAGGAACAAAAGAGAGAGGAGAAAGCAGAGGCUCACCUCUAUACAAUCAUCAAGGUAGCUCGUGAUUAAGACCUUGGUAAACAAAUUGGAAAGGAGAUCUAUUUUGAUUUGUGGAUCAUGAUGAAGUGCAUAGUUUCCGUGUUAAGAAGCAGAUGCCAUUUUCUCAAUUCAAGGAGGAGGUUGCUAAAGAAUUUGGUAUACCAGUGCAAUUUCAGCGUUACUGGCUAUGGGCAAAGCGCCAGAACCAUACAUAUCAGCCUAAUCGUCCAUUGACAGCUCAAGAAGAAGUUCAAUUCGUAAAUUAUGUCUAACAAUCUUACCUCUGAUGUAUGCUUGCGUCUGAAUUAUGACUGGACUUCUAUUGGUGAUGUUCUUUACUAUGCUUGUUUUUGGUUUCCCAGAUUAUUCCUUUGCUUAAAAAAAGAAGAAGAAUGAUCUUAGCAUGAUAUUUUUUUCAUUUGUGUAGCUAAAUGUCAGUUUGAUUCUUUAAAUUCUCUUGCUUGAUUUGUCUUCUUCGAAAAAAUGUUGUACAUAAGGUUAAUUAUUUUGUAUGUUACAAGAAUACGUGGACUGCAAUCCACUAAACACUGUAAUUAUGAUGGCAAGUUUUCUCAAUAACUCUUUUUAAAUCUCCAGGAAUUUGAAGAUACCCUGAUAUAUAUGGCUAGCGUACGCACCAAAGCAGAGGCUUAUGAAAUUUGUCGUAUAGUACCCCCGCUUCGUGGAAACCUCCAUGCCCUCUUAAGGAAAAAACUAUAUGAGAGAACUCCAAAUUUGCUACCCGUGUACAGAGUAUCGACAAACUUCAAAUCGAGAUUCGAUGAGAAGGAUGUGUGUAAUACUCCGUAUUUUUUUUUUAGCUUAAAUUUGUUCCUAAAUAUUAAGGAAUAGCUUUCAAAAUGAAUAACAUUUAUUUCAUGUGAAAUUUUUCAGAUUUA